AUGCCGUCCUAAAUUGUUAUGCCAAGACUGUGACUUUAGCUUCAUCGCGUGUGCCAAUGAUAUCUUGGAAGGGUACAUUUUAUUCGGGUCCUAAGAGUGUCAUAUCUUAUGUUUAGGCUCGUAAAUUGGUUGAGAGAAGAUAUUUAUCUUACUUGGCCCAUAUCCGUGACACAAGUGUUGUUUCAUCUCCUUCCUUAGAUU
RNAcentral lists this long non-coding RNA (201 nucleotides) under Capsicum annuum. Its description in RNAcentral is "long non-coding RNA (CANN_LNC022376)". The record is from RNAcentral. Lineage: Eukaryota; Viridiplantae; Streptophyta; Magnoliopsida; Solanales; Solanaceae.